This is a long non-coding RNA of Culex pipiens pallens (northern house mosquito), 4300 nucleotides long. RefSeq lists it as uncharacterized. Lineage: Eukaryota; Metazoa; Arthropoda; Insecta; Diptera; Culicidae. The record is from RefSeq and is a predicted model, not a curated record. The transcript has 4 exons.
UAUAAUAUAGUUCAGCGGUUCUCAACCUUUUCUUGGUCAGGUACCCCUUUUCGUUUUAUCCAAGCUGCUGGUACCCCUUAGCAUUCAUACACGAAAUUUUUUCGUCUAAUAAGGUUUUUUUUACAUUCUUGAUUUCAGAAUAUUUAUCAGCAGAAAUUUAAAACUUGAAUAGUUCCGUGGGCUUUGAUGAUGAAAGCUAGUCUUAAAGUCUUUACGCUUAAGGACGAUAAGAUUGGUUUUCCCAGGUCCUGUGGGUCGUCAGGACUUUGGCAGCCCUAAGGCGCUUGCCUCUGGGUGGCGGAUGGAGGAUAAAGGGAUGAGUUAACUGUAGUGACAGGCUGCAAGGGAUCCAGGGAGCGGCCGUGGCUUUGUAAGCGAAUGGUCCUGGGUUUCGAUGCCCAUCUGCUCCCAACGAGAAAGUUUAAGACUUAGAAAUAUUUGAAAUACUGAAUAUGAACGAAAAAUUGUAGUCGCUCAAGGCGGGGUUCGAUCCCCCGUCCUUUGAAUUGGCUAGGCCAUGACGACUUGGUGAACUUGGACUGGAAUUAGGAAUACUGUUACAGAGAGCGAGUUGUGGCGCUAUAACCACGGCAAAUAGUGUCCAGCCAGGGCAUUCGUGGAAAUACAAUAUCCCAUCCCAGAGGGUCCCGGAGUACCAAACCAUUGACUAAUUAAAGACUAAACACUCCGAACAUUUUUUUCAAAAAAAUAUGACUCAUAUGCUGUGAACCGCGUGAACCACGUUGAACCGCAUCGGCUUACCCCCCGUAUGACAGAUUUCCUUGGCCGCACUGCCUUUUUCAAUUUUGCUUUGUGCUGUUUUGCGCGCGUAUCGCAUCGAGGCGCGAUCGUGUUUGUUUUUGUUUUCGCAUCAGCUGUACGGCGGAAUUUUUGUUUUUGUUGCAGAACUCCUUCGAUUAUUAUUCAAACAAAAUGGUAAGAUUUAAGCGAGGGGCGUGACAAUCGAAAAUAAUUAAAUAAUUUAAUUAAUUAACUGCAGAAAUUAACGAAUUAACGCAAAAUUAAUUUUUGUUUACGAUCAAAACAUCGCCACCUCUUUUUACAUCUCAUUGAACCAGUUUGACAUUGCGAGCGUUUGUUUUUGUUGUUUUUGUUGUCAGAGAGAAGUGCCUACAGGAGAACGCGCAAAAAAAGAAAAAGAGACCGAGGACACGGUGAAGAAGGGAUUCCUGGGACCACUCCAGCUGCUCGGUAAAUAGCUUCAGCCAAGGCGCCCCCGCUGGUCGGCGGUCGAUUCAGAAGACGUUUCUGUGGAUGAGGCCAACAACAUGCAGGACAUUUGAGGAAUUCGCUGUCAUGUCCUUGACCACGCCCGUGCACCGGCCUCCCAGAUAAAUGGAGCGUGGUCAUUCGGUGCCCACUACCACCAAAACAAGUUGAAGGAACUUCAGUUGGAAAAGCAAUGCUCGAGUGAAGGCGUGAAAUGACCAGGCUGAAGAGUGCCGUAACCGUUCCUCAAGGACGUGUGCAAGAAGAAGGCUUCCCUACCAACGUAGACCCUGCGACCAAGAAGAACCGCAUCCGCGAGGGGAAGGCCCAACCUGGGGCUACCGCAGCCAAGUCGUCGACUUAUGUGUGGGUGUAUGUGUGUGUAUGUUACUGAUGUAAAUUUGUGGUUAAGUUUGAAUUGAAAAUAUAUAAAAUUUACAGCUUUUUGUCGAUGUUUUAAUCAAAUAUGCCGUUUCCCGAGCUGUUAUGUUAGAACCUGGUUUUAAAUUCCUUAGCCACAGAAAUGUCUUUUGAUGACCGUGACUUAGCAAAAUACAAUCAUAUUGUUACAAGUCUUUUUCAUUGUAAAUUUGAUUGUAAAUGAUGAUUGAUCUAAUCAACACUCUAGACAUCUUUUUUUAGUUUGAAUGAACUUUUCGAUUGAAGAUUUAAUUGAUACUAAACAACUUAGAGCUAUACCUUGGUUGGAAAUGUCCUGUAAGGUGGAGUUGGACAGCGUGCUAAUCAGGAGGGCUUGCGUCUAAGAAAAGCUUCAGCGUAUCCUGGUUCCGAUCGGUUCAAAUACGUUCGAUUCUACGACUUUCCCCGGGGUUCCGUGUACCGGAACCGGAAGCUUUCACACCGACCACCAUCGUGUUUAUUCCGGCAAGCACACAAGCCUUUUGCAAUCGUUGCUCUCGCGUGCUUAAUUUCUUGUGAAACCGGUAAUCGGAAGUACCAAGGGAUGUUACAUGACCGCAUGCAGCACCUGCUGAUCAACCCGGAACCGAUGCCGAAUGGCCAUUUGUUCCAUCGGCGACUUAUUACGAAAUCGACGGAAAUAGAAGGCAAAAUUAAAAUUAAAUUAAAAAAUUAUGGCGAUCAGCCUGAAAAACCUGUCGGUUGUUCCGGUUCUCCGAUAUUAUUGUACGAUCAGUUCCUACACACAAAAAAAUAUUAUGGUAAUGACAAAAGUAACUUACUUUUGAAUUAAAAAGUUGUUAAAAUUUGCUACAUUAAAAGUUUUUUUCUUGUUUUGAAAAUGAAAACUUUUACUGCUACAGUUUUUGAAAAUCUCAUUGCUCACUGAUUUAAAAGUUUUUACUUUUAAUUCGACUGUAAAAUUUCUUUCAUUUUGACGUUCUCGUGUAACCGUGUACGCCUAAGUCGCAAAUGUAAACAAACACUUUGGUGGGUCCGGUGGUGCUGGUGAGUCUAGGACGCAAAGCAAAGCCGACCGCGGCAGCAGCCAGGACUCGGACGCGGAAACCUUCGUGAGCCAAACAGCAGCAGCGGAACUCCUUCGAAGGAGGGUGGUGCAGGAGCGGGACGAGGUCGAGUGCUCGAAAAGGACAAGGCCAGCUUCCUGCAGGAACUGCAGCUGUUCCACGGCCGGAAUGCGAUGAGAGGUAGGAAUGUGGAUUCGCACCGGUUGUAUUGGGUGGUGGUGGCCCGGGAUUGGUGGUUGAGGGUCAAUUCGCGUGAGGACCGAGGCGAUAUCAUCGAGGAGAUGGCGCUGCCGAAGCGUUGCAUGAACAACGAGAUUGCGUUGAAGAAGAUUAACUUCCGGUUUUUGGACAAGUACGCGAAAGUUUAUUUUCACGAUGGGCCUCCGACGAAAAGGAGGACGACGAAAAGCUACAUAAUUGGAGGUGGUCAGCGCAGAUGUUGCACUCGGUGCCGGCGGUUUACAGCACCGCAACUUCCCGCCCACAAACACUCACGUCGCGACGGCGCAGCUUCAGCCGAAUGAAUCUGGACAGUGAGCCAAAAAAAAUCUGUGUCAUUCUCGAAGUAGGAUUACGUGCUCAAAAUCGAACUCCGUACCGAGGGCCUCAUCAACUCCAUGUUCCGGAUGCGCUUCCAGGAUCGGGAACUCCCCGUUCAGGCACUUUACUUUCCAGCCGGAAAACGUCGACCACCCUUCCCGAAUCAAUGGCCAAAUCCUCCAAGACUGUCCUUAUUGACGCCGGAAACGUGACCAUCGUGUUACACUGCUGUCGCGCGUUGAAGCCUCCAUCCGGAACCGUCCAGCCUGGGGUAUUCGAAAGUGACCGGUGGCGUACCGUAUGAAGCAGAAGCUAGUGGAGAAGCGUUAAAUACAAAAAAAGUGUUUUCCUAACAUACUGUUUAAUUAUUUUUUGUAAUAAAUGUAAAAAACCAAGCACAUUUUUCUAAAAUUAUCCCUGUAGUGCUAAAUGUUGUGUAUUCUUGCCAUAAAAGGUUUCUUUUACAAUUAAAAGUAAAAUACUUUUACCAAUACAACGAUUUUGUUCCAUAAAUGCAUGGUAGUAUCAAAAACUUUCCAACUUUUAAAUUGAAAAGUUUGAACUUUCUACGAAUAUUCACCAACGCGAACUUUUAAUCCAACGAACGAUCUUUUUAAAUUUAGAGUAAUUUUUCUUUGUGUGUAGCUGGACUCGGUCACUGGAAACGACCGACGGCUCAGUGACCGACGAAAUAGGCGGCGGGCCAGAUGCGGGCAUAAAAAUGUCAAAAUCUCUUCCCCCUCACUUCGUCUUACCAUCCAGCUGCAGCUUUGUUGGCAAACGGAGCACGCGGUCGCAUGAUGGCGGCAUCGAGCCAGAAUUAGGGGUGAUCAUGUGAUUAAAAAUGAAAGUUUUUUCAAGAAAAAUAAUAAUUUUUCCGACCGAAUUAAAAAAUUGCGAGCAUGUUCAAACAAUUAUUCCUGAUGUCGGAGAAGUGAUAAAAAAGCAAAAUUUUAAUCCAUAAUUUUUCUAUAAAUUGAAUUUUUUCACUCCAACUGGGAACCCCUAGAUCUAUCCACGACCGUUUCCAAUGACCGUGAGAAGAUGCCAGAAAAUCCAGCUACGAGCUAAAUCCACAAUAU